Molecule: ribosomal RNA, 315 nt
Filed under: uncultured archaeon
Lineage: Archaea
Description: bacterial SSU rRNA
Rfam family: Archaeal small subunit ribosomal RNA
Source: RNAcentral
UUAAGUCAGGCAACAAGCGAGACCCACGCCCACAGUUGCCAGCGUACUCUCUGGAGUGACGGGUACACUGUGGGGACCGCCGCUGCUAAAGCGGAGGAAGGAAUGGGCAACGGUAGGUCAGUAUGCCCCGAAUGUCCCGGGCUACACGCGGGCUACAAUGGUUGGUACAAUGGGUAUCUACCCCGAAAGGGGAUGGAAAUCUCCUAAAGCCAAUCUUAGUUCGGAUCGAGGGCUGCAACUCGCCCUCGUGAAGCUGGAAUCUGUAGUAAUCGCGUUUCAAUAGAACGCGGUGAAUACGUCCCUGCUCCUUGCACA